Molecule: RNA transcript, 7127 nt
Organism: Balaenoptera acutorostrata (minke whale)
Lineage: Eukaryota; Metazoa; Chordata; Mammalia; Artiodactyla; Balaenopteridae
Gene: SPATA13
Gene name: spermatogenesis associated 13
Exons: 15
Source: RefSeq, a predicted model, not a curated record
GCUCUGUUCAUCACGGAGGCCUCCGCACCGCGUGUGUGGAUAUUCUGCAGGAAGUUCCUAAACCACCUUUACCGCGGAGCCGCAUAGACAGACGCCUGCAGGGGCCAUACAAGCCAACAAGAGGACAAAGUUCAAAGCUCUGAUAAUUUCAUGGUCUGAGCUCUCCUGAUGAGUGACCAGGACCUAAAAUAAAUUCAUCCCUACUGUGGUGUGACCUCGGUGGUGGCCUUUUGAAGACUUGGAAAGGCGGUGACCACGACCGCGGAGCCCGAUGUGCACGGCAGGCGGGAAGGCCAGGCCGGCGGCCUCGGGGAGGAAGGCGUGCGCGCGGAGCGGGGGGACACGGAGGCGCGCGUGGGUCUGAACCGCGCUGCCCUGUGCCCGUGGGCUCCCGGCCCCCAGAUCAUGACCACGGCCCAGAACGGCCACGGGCGCGGAGCUGCGGUCCCCGGUCCCAUCUCUGAUCCCAAAGACCCCGGCAUGGUGACCUACCCGGCGUGUCGUCACGGGGGCUGCAGCGGCGCGGGCGCCCGGGAGGCGCGGCUCAGCCCGGCCCGCCUCCUGCGCCUCUUCUCCGCCGGCGCGAACAGGACGCGCGCCGACCCCGAGCGGCCCCGGCCCGCCGGCCUCGUGGGCAGCUCCUCCACGUGGAACGCCCUGGCCUCCUUCCGGAAAAUGGGGUCUUUCAAAAAACUGAAGACCUCGGUCCUCCAGGGAAUUCAGAACCGGGAGGGAUGGGACGCCGCCAAAGAGGGGGCCGAGGAACGCGACCUGGGCAAGGCGGUCCCCAACGGCGCGGCGGCCGGAGCCCCCGCGGGCCGGUGCCCCCCGGAGCCGGGCGUCGCGUCCGACGGCUCGGACCCCGAGGAGCCCGACGACGGCUUCGCGCGCGGCGCCCUCCGGUCCCGCAGCAUCCGCCGCGCCUACGGCCUGGGGCGCAUUCGCCUUCUUGACCCGGAGCCGCCCGCCCUGGAGCCCGCGGCGCGCGAGGCCCCGGCGCGGGAGCCCGAGAGGAACGGCGUCUGCCGGCGGAGCAAGAGUACGGACAGCCUGACCUUCCUCAAGAAGAGCUCCUUUCGGCGGAAGUCGGCCUCGCACCUGGCCGAGCUGCGGCGCGCGCCCGAGAGCCGGGGCCCGCGGAGGACGCUGAGCGGCUCGUCCGCCGACUCCGACAGCUCCGACGGGGCCCCCGCGGGGCCCAGGCGCUGCAGGAGCCCGCUGCGGGCCCCGGACCUGGCCCGGGUGCUGCGGCUCGUGGGCGGCGGCGUGGCCGACCGGCCGGGGGACCCCGGGGGCGCCCCGCCCGGGCCGCGGCCGCACAGCCGGCUGCACGACGACUACUCCCGCCGCGCGGUCGCCGGCCCCGAGCGCGGGCGGAGGGGCGCGGAGCCCCCGGACCCCGGCCUGGCGGGUGCUGGGGGCUCGGCCGGGGACGCGGCUGCCGGAGGUGCCGCUCCUCGCGCCCCCGGCUCUUGCUCCGGGCCCGCGGCCCGGGAGGUGUCGGACAGAGGCUCCAAGGAACCGGGCCCUGGCGACCGGUCUCCCGUGGAGCCCGAGCCUCCUCUCGGUCCUGCGAGGCCCACCACGCCCAAGCCCCCCAGCCCUCGGAGCCCCGACGCAGCACCUGCCAAGUGUCCCAACAGUGUCAGCGCGCUGGCCCUGAGUUCAGUGGACAGCGAGGAAAGGGCAGAGGGGCCCGUCCAGAGGGAGCAAGGUCCCGGGUCCUUCCAGGAUGUGCUGCAAACCGCCUGUGACCUGGGCAGUGAGAACAGCGGCGCCGGCAGCCACCCGCAGCAGAGCCUCGGAGGGGCGAACUGUCCAGAAGAAAAGACGGACGAGGUUGUGACCGAGGGGUCCUGGAGGCGGACCUCCGCACCAGAGGAAGAGAGGCCGGAGGCUCACAGGGUCCCCAGGAGGAGAUGCGCACCCGGGAGGAGGCCAAGGCCCCGACCACUCUCUGACUACGGCCAGCCGGUCAGCCUAAGUCUGUCCAUCCCUGAAGACUCGAUCGCCGUAGACCCCCAGAAAGAGGACACUGAGGACGGUGACCACCAGCCCAGCGGGGCCCCCAUCGACCCUGCAGACCAGACCCCUGCUGGGGGCUGCCCCCGGGGGGCGCCAAGAAGACGCCCCAUCUCCGUGAUCGGCGGGGUCGGCUUCUAUGGGAGCAGCCAGGCGGAGGAGGGGGAGGCCAUUCUGCCCCAACCGGCUGCCCGGCCGCCCGUGCCCGCGCACCAGGUGCCUCCCUACCGCGCGGUGUCGGCCCGGCUGCGGCCGUGCGCCUUCUCCCAGAGCACCCCCAUCGGGCUGGACCGCGUGGGACGCCGGCGGCUCAUGAGAGCAUCCAACAUUUCUUCUGAUGGCGGUGCAGAGCCGUCUGCCCUAGCGGAUGACAAUGGCAGCGAGGAGGACUACAGCUAUGAAGACCUCUGUCGGGCCAGCCCCCGGUACCUGCAGCCGGGCGGGGAGCAGCUGGCCAUCAACGAGCUGAUCAGCGAUGGCAGCGUGGUCUGCGCCGAGGCCCUGUGGGACCACGUGACCAUGGACGAGCAGGAGCUGGGCUUCAAGGCCGGGGACGUCAUCCAGGUCUUGGAAGCCUCCCACAAGGACUGGUGGUGGGGUCGCAGCGCGGACAGGGAGGCCUGGUUCCCCGCCAGCUUCGUCCGACUGCGGGUCAAUCAGGAGGAGCUGUCGGAGGGCGCCAGCGGCAGCCCGGGCGAGGAGCCGGCGGAGGACGCGGGCCGGGGCCGCCACAAGCACCCUGAGAGCAAGCGGCAGAUGCGGACCAACGUUAUCCAGGAGAUCAUGGACACCGAGCGGGUGUACAUCAAGCACCUCCGGGACAUCUGCGAGGGCUACAUUCGACAGUGUCGCAAGCACACGGCGAUGUUCACGGUCGCACAGCUCGCCACCAUUUUUGGAAACAUUGAAGAUAUUUACAAAUUCCAAAGAAAGUUCCUGAAAGACCUUGAGAAACAGUACAAUAAAGAGGAGCCUCACCUGAGCGAAAUAGGGUCCUGCUUUCUUCAACACCAAGAGGGCUUCGCCAUCUACUCCGAGUACUGCAACAACCACCCGGGCGCCUGCGCCGAGCUGGCGGGCCUGAUGAAGCAGGGCCGCUACCGACACUUCUUUGAGGCCUGCCGCCUGCUGCAGCAGAUGAUCGACAUCGCCAUUGACGGCUUCCUGCUGACGCCCGUGCAGAAGAUCUGCAAGUACCCGCUGCAGCUGGCCGAGCUGCUCAAGUACACCACUCAGGAGCACAGCGAUUACAGCAACAUAAAGGCAGCGUACGAGGCCAUGAAGAACGUCGCCUGUCUGAUCAAUGAGCGAAAACGCAAGCUGGAAAGCAUAGACAAGAUAGCACGGUGGCAGGUGUCCAUCGUGGGCUGGGAGGGCCAGGACAUCCUCGAGCGCAGCUCGGAGCUGAUCCACUCCGGGGAGCUGACCAGGGUCACCCGGCAGGGCAAGAGCCAGCAGCGGACGUUCUUCCUGUUUGACCACCAGCUGGUGGCCUGCAAGAAGGACCUGCUGCGGAGGGACGUGCUCUACUACCGCGGCCGCACGGACAUGGACGCCGUGGAACUCGUGGACCUGGAGGACGGCCGCGACGGUGCCCGCACCCUCGGCGUCAGAAACGCCUUCAAGCUGGUCAGCAGGACGGGUGACGAGGCGCACCUGUUCUGUGCCAAGAAGCCUGAGGACAAGGCGCGGUGGCUGCAGGCCUGCAGGGACGAGCGCAGGCGGGUGCAGGAGGACCGGGCGAUGGGAAUGGAAAUUUCAGAAAAUCAGAAGAAACUCGCCAUGUUAAAUGCUCAAAAGGCAGGACACGGAAAGUCAAAAGGCUACGGCGGAGGAUGCCCUUCGGCCCCCCCGCUCCAGAGCCUGCGGCCGGUCCACCAGCGCCACGUCACCGUGCCCGCCAGCCUGCCGCAGCAGCAGGUGUUCGCGCUGGCGGAGCCCAAGAGGAAGCCGUCGCUGUUCUGGCACACCUUCAACAAGCUCACCCCCUUCAGGAAGUGACGCGGGGGGCCGGGGAGGGGGGCGCCGUGCCCCUCCUGGGCCCCAUCCAAGGAGUGUACUCCGCACGGGGCACGGGGAUCCGGUGCUGAACACCUCCCCUGGGGACGCGGUGAGGAGACCUGGCCUCGCCGGCGGUCGCAGAGGCCCAGCUGCCUUCUCGGGAGCGAGGGGGGCAUGACGCACAGCUCCAGUGUCGCCUGGGCCGCUCCCCGCCGCCGUAAGCCCACCGAGGCGGCCGCCGCCGGGGAACCGCGGUGGGCUCUGGAGAUGCUGGGCGGGGAGCCGGGAGCAUGGCCGAGGACGAGCUGCGGUCCAGGCCCCGGGUGGGUCUCCCCGAGGAGGAUGGGCGGGGCCACUCUGCCUUCGGUCUUGAAGGGGAGGGGAGCGCCGGGGUCAGGGGGUGGCGGGCGGUGACCGCAGCCCCGUCGGGGCCCUGGGGUCCCCUGGCGUCUUCCACAUUCACGCAGUCGCCAGAUGGUGGGCGGGCCUCUCCCGCAGGCUCCUGCGCACGUGGUCCGGGGCCCGCGGUGCACAGAGACCCACGCGCUCCCAAGACGCCGUUGCUUUCGGGGGGCAGGGAGCCCGCGGCUGGCUUUGUACGCUUGUCCCCCCCGCGUGCCACUCCCCGAGCAGAAACCUGAGAAACUUUACGCACGUGCACUUCCAGUAGGAAAACCCAUUUCCUGUAGUUUGAUGACGGAGUGAACGUGCAGACCUCCCAGCUGAAACGUGUCCUUAAAAGAGCGUCCGCGUGCCUGUUCCUCCCUCUGCCUCCGUCCUCGCCGGUCAAGUGACAGUGACACGUACCUUCUUCCACUGAAAACCAGAGGCUCAAGGGUCCUGCUUCCUCCAUGUUUGAAGCCGACUUUGUCCCACAGCCCCGAGCGGUAGUGUCCGCCGUGCCAUGAUUAGCAUGUCGACAGGUUUCUGAAGAAAGGUUCCGUAUGGAAGAGACCUCACGAAAUAGACCCAGACUCAGAGCAGCCUUCUCUAGCGAAGGCCACGCGGCAGACGCCGGUCAGCGGCAACCUCCUUGCCUUUUCUAGAUGGUAAAUUCUGAUGAAAACGGCUUUUAAACGUGCCGGGAGGAAACAGGCUCUGCCAGAGAAACACCUUUCCAUUGACCUCAUGCACCGGGCGGGGGUCCUGUUACAUGUCUUGUGGCUUUCUACUCGGGAAUCUCUUUUUGGUGUUGAAACCCUCUAAAGUUCUCUUUUCUACCCAGUUCCUGCUUGAGAAUAAACACACCUGUACGGUCCUAACAGAGGGGACACCUGAGGCUCCAGCUUCCCAACAGAGGGACAGGAAGCACGGACACCAGGGCACGUGGUGACAGUCCCUUGGUCAGAUGUCCAUCCUAGGUGGCUCCUGCUUGGAUUUCCAGGUGAUUUGAAAACUGCUAAAGUGCGUUUAAAAGGAUAGAACGUCCUUUGUCCUCUUUAAAUUUGUGUGUCUAGCUUGGGUUUAUUAGCAAAUGCCUGCGUUCUCUACAGAAUAGAUGGCUCUGUGUUCUGUUUUUACAUUUGCCGAACUUCCUUCUUGAUUUCUCACAUGUUCCACUUGGAGAGAAAAAGAGAAAAAACGAAAAGCCCCCUGUACAGGUUGUGUAUGAAUUUCACUGGGAAUCUCGCUUUCUCUGUCUGUCUUUUUCUCUUUUUAACACUACACUGCGUGAUAUCGGUGGACCGCCCCCCCGCCCCCCCCCCCAAAAAAAAGAUGGCAUAACAUUUUGAUGAAUUUCACUUACUCUAUCAUGUUUCAGAGUUUGCCAACUCUGUUGAAAGACCUUUGAAAUGACCUCAGGUCCAAAGCAGCCUUCUCGGUUUUUGAUGAUGCCUAACAUGUAUAACAACCUUGCAGUAGAUUGUAAGCAAUCAAUCGUACAACAGAAUACCUGUGAAGUCCUGGAGAAAUGGCAUUCUUUGUCUUUGGCCUGCAAACUGGAAGAAGAGUGGCAGGGAUUUGCCAGGGCUUUCCUGGGACACCUUCUGUGUCUCUUGCUCUCGGUACAUCUGAUCUCUUCCCACCCCCCUGCCGUAGACCUGAUUUUGUAGUUGAAAACAUUUCACCCCCAUCUCCACGUUCCUUCUGAAUAUCGUCGUGCCUUUUUAUUCAUAAUACAAAGACUGAGCUCCAUGCCUGUUCAGAAAAUCCCCUCAAUCCUACAUUGCUGUUGUCUAGACACAGAGCAAAAGUGCAUUUAAUUCAAAACCUGUUUCACAAUAGAAAUCUUUUGUAAAAGCCAUGCGCCAGCAUUUUAUCGGUUGGGAAUCUCUACAGGCCCAGACCGCUGAUUCUCCUCAGUGCAGAUCAACUUAGUUACCAAGCCAGAAUAGAAAAAACCCGGCCACCUGAGUUAGGGAAGAAAUUGCGGUGUAAUAUUUUGUUGAGGAGAGGAGAAACAGACGUGUCCCUCACAGUUCAGUGCCAACAAGCGUGGAUAAAUGUGGCUCACAGGCCAGGGGUGCCAGGCACACAUCGAGAAGGCCAAACUGCCCCAAAGCAGUUGUCCCCGUAAUAAGCUUGGCCCGCAAGUUGUUCUCCCUGUUAAAAUUUCACCUGGCUGACGCUGCUCUUCUCAGGAUGGAUGCAACGAAGGUGGAGUCCAAAGGAUUCUGAAAAUAAUAAGUAGAAACUGUGUGAUCUUGAAAAAAAAAACAAACCCAGGAGCAUAAAUAUCGGAUGCAAAUUUAGUAACCACAAACUUAACAUUACUGUCUUUAGUUGUUUAUUAGGUAUCUGACACUUGAAUUUAGAAAAUACUGUAACUGAUUCUGCAAUUUAACAGUUGGUCUCUUUUUGUAAAUAUUAGCAUCCACGGUGUUUGACUUACCUACUUCGCAAGGCUUUUGGUGACCUGUUCCUUCAAUUCUAACUCACCAGCAUCAAGGUGAUGUUAUCUGUAUAGGUCAAGUGACAGCUUCCAGAUGAAGUGGCUGUUGACAGCUGAAUUGUGUUGUACAAGAUCGCUGUAACUUGAUAUGUGUUUUCUCUGAAGUUUUUGUAAAAAAAAAAAUAUAUAUUUACAAUGUUAUUUGAAUGAUUUCUUGUAAAUGCUGUGAAUCUAUAUUUGUUGUUUUGUAUCUGUAUAUUAAAGUUAAUUU